GAUGAACGCUGGCGGCGUGCCUAAUACAUGCGAGUCGAACGCUGGAACUCUAGCUUGCUAGAUUGAAGGAGUGGCGAACGGGUGAGUAAUACAUAAGCAACCUACCCACGAAGACUGGGAUAAUCUCUGGAAACGGGGACUAAUACCGGAUAGGUAAUCGGAAGGCAUCUUCUGAUUAUUAAAGGUUAAAAACACUGGUGGAUGGGCUUAUGGCGCAUUAGUUAGUUGGUGAGGUAACGGCCCACCAAGACGAUGAUGCGUAGCCGGCCUGAGAGGGUGAACGCCCACAGGGGGACUGAGACACGGACCAGACUCCUACGGGAGGAAGCAGUAGGGAAUUGUCGGCAAGGGGGGAAAGCCUGACCAAGCAACGCCGCGUGAGAGAGGACGGCCUUCGGGAUAUAAAGCUAUUUUGUAAGAGAAAAACGGUAGAUAGAGAAUAUCUAAAUGACGGUACCUUAUCAGAAAGCCACGGCUAACUACGUG
Molecule: ribosomal RNA, 486 nt
Filed under: uncultured bacterium
Lineage: Bacteria
Description: partial 16S ribosomal RNA
Rfam family: Bacterial small subunit ribosomal RNA
Source: RNAcentral